CGAAAGCCUGACGGAGCAAUACCGCGUGAGGGAGGAAGGCUCUAGGGUUGUAAACCUCUUUUAUCAGGGAAGAAGCUCUGACGGUACCUGAGGAAUCAGCAUCGGCUAACUCCGUGCCAGCAGCCGCGGUAAUACGGAGGAUGCAAGCGUUAUCCGGAAUCAUUGGGCGUGAAGCGUCCGCAGGUGGGAGUUCAAGUCGAUUGUCAAAGGCAGUAGCUUAACUACUGAAAGGCAGUGGAAACUGAACAACUAGAGUGCGGUAGGGGUAGAGGGAAUUCCCGGUGUAGCGGUGAAAUGCGUAGAGAUCGGGAAGAACACCAGUGGCGAAAGCGCUCUGCUGGACCGGCACUGACACUGAGGGACGAAAGCUAGNGGGAGCG
RNAcentral lists this ribosomal RNA (380 nucleotides) under uncultured cyanobacterium. Its description in RNAcentral is "bacterial SSU rRNA". It matches the Rfam family "Bacterial small subunit ribosomal RNA", at positions 376 to 770 of the family's 1533-position model. Lineage: Bacteria; Bacillati; Cyanobacteriota. The record is from RNAcentral.